UUUUUCUUUCUUAUGUUCAUUCAGCUCCCAUUUCUCUCUAUCCCCUCACACCACUUCUCUCUCUCCCCAUAACUCCUCUUCUUACUUUCCCCUCAUGCCGCCACCCAUACCCACUGCCGUACCCACCGCCCUAGCCAUAGCCACUGCCUAAGCCACCGAUCUACUCUCUCUUUCUUCACUCCUCUCCCUCCUCCCCACCAUACCCAUGCCACAACCCAUGAAAAUAAGAGAAAGAUACAAAGACACAGUUGCACUCCUUCUUGCUAGGUCCAAUUUGUUGAUUAUUAGGAAUAUAGAGUGGAAUAAUCUUAUGCUUGGUUUUGACCAGGUUAACCACUCACUUAUUGUGAUAAGUUUGGGUUUUUUUUGGAAAGGUGUUUGCUUGGCUUGAGCAUAGUAAGUAAUUUUUGCUUAAAAUUUUGUACUUGAGAUAUUGAUAAUUGUGUUGGGAUGGAUUGUUGAGUUGGAGCAAGUGGGUGGCUUGCAUAGUGCUAUAAGGCGGUUUAUAUUCAUAUUGGGAGUGUUUAUUAUUUUUUAAAAAUUUGGAUGGAUAUUUUUGAAUUAUAUUUGUUGAUUACUUUUUGGAUUUCAAUACCUGUAAGCAUUCUAUAUUUGUGAUUAUGAUAAUUGUAUUGGGUGGAUUGUUGUGUUAAAGCAAGCGGGUGGCUUACAUGGUGUUAUAAAGUCGCUGCAAUUGAUAUUAGGAGUGUUUAUUAAAUUAGGAAAUUGAGUUAUGUUUGUCGAUUACUAUUUUUUUUCUAAUACUUGUAAGCAUUCUAUAUUUGUGAUUAUGAUAAUUGUGUUAGGGUGGAUUGUUGUGUUGGAGUAAGCGGGGGGCUUGCAAGGUGUUAUAAAGCAGUUUAUAUUUAUAUUGGAAGUGUUUAUUAUUUUUUGAAAAAUUGGAUAUUAUUGAGUUAUGUUUGUUGAUUACUUUUUUUACUUCAAUACUUGUAAGCAUUCUAUAUUGUGAUAUUGAUAAUUGUUUUGUGGUGGAUUGUUGAGUUGGAGGAAACAGGUGGCUUGUAUGGUGUUAUAAGGUAGUUUCAAUUGGUAUUGGGAGUGUUUAUUGAUUUUUGAAAAUUUUGAUAGAUAUUGUUGAGUUAUAUUUGUUUGAUUAUUUCAUUUCUUUCACAUGUCAAACAUGCAAACUAAUUGAUAAUUUUCAAGAGAUGUUGAUUAGUUACCAAAUGUAUUAAUAAAUUACGUAUGAAAUUAGACUCAUGCCUACACUUAGGACCUUGUGUGACUUGCAAGUCAUUUUCUCAAAUUUGGAAAUUUUGCCUUGUUUUCUUAGAAGCAUAGGUUUGUUUUGUUAGAGUAAUUAAAAUAUGGAUUAACCGUUGGUUUAUGCUUUCAAGAUAUCGUGCUAUAGGUAUUUAUUGUGUAAAUUUAUUCUAUAGCUAUGGACAAGAGUUGGAUGGAUAUUAGAGAUAGGACGUCUGUCGAAUAUAGUGUUUAAAUUUUAAUGUUUUAAGAAUGUAUUUAGUGUUAAGUGUUUAAAUUUUUUAAGUAUAGCUACUAUUAUUUUGUUACUCAAAAUGAUUUCUUUUUGAACUUCUUAGAUAUUCUUAAUUUGUAUUCAGGGUGGUUUUGGUUUAGAUUAUCAAUCUCUAACUCCACAGAAAUCACAAGCUUCAUCCCAUCAAGAAACUAGCUUAUCGCGGUAAAUGUAGUGUUUUAAGGACUCAAUGGGCUAUUAAAUAGUUGUUUUGAACAACCACAUUUAUUUUGGAAGUAUUGUACUUUUUGUUGUUUAUAUUGUCAUAGUUUGGGUGGUUUUUUUUUAGUAUGGGCUAUCACAUAGUUGUUUUGAACAACCACAUUUAUUUUGAAAGUAUUGCACUUUGUUUACAAUAUUGUCAUAAUUUGGGUGGUUUUGUUUUUGUAGAUAGACAAGUGUUUUGUUAAAUUCAAGAUGAUACUUUAGACACAUGUUAUGUAUUGGUAUUAAAUAUAUAUCUAUUUGCAUCUAUGUGAAAUGUUGUUAAUGUGUUAGUUUGAA
This is an RNA transcript of Quercus robur (English oak), 2002 nucleotides long. It is a transcript of the gene named pheromone-processing carboxypeptidase KEX1-like, with no coding region annotated. The record is from RefSeq and is a predicted model, not a curated record. Lineage: Eukaryota; Viridiplantae; Streptophyta; Magnoliopsida; Fagales; Fagaceae. The transcript has 3 exons.